AUUGAACGCUGGCGGCAGGCUUAACACAUGCAAGUCGAGCGAGCGGCGGACGGGUGAGUAAUGUCUGGGAAACUGCCUGAUGGAGGGGGAUAAGUACUGGAAACGGUAGCUAAUACCGCAUACCAUCAGAUGAGCCCAGAUGGGCGUAGCUAGUAGGGGGGGUAAUGGCUCACCUAGGCGAAGAUCCCUAGCUGGUCUGAGAGGAUUACCAGCCCCACUGGAACUGAGCCACUGUCCAGACUCCUACGGGAGGCAGCAGUGGGGAAUAUGUCACAAUGUGCGCAAGCCUGAUGCAUCCAUGCCGCGUGUGUGAAGAAGGCCUUCGGGUUGUAAAGCACUUUCAGCGAGGAGGCUUUACUCGCAGAAGAAGCACCGGCUAACUCCGUGCCAGCAGCCGCGGUAAUUC
Molecule: ribosomal RNA, 406 nt
Filed under: uncultured bacterium
Lineage: Bacteria
Description: partial 16S ribosomal RNA
Rfam family: Bacterial small subunit ribosomal RNA
Source: RNAcentral